UCUGUGACACGCUCGGAAGAGCAGAGCUUCUCUGUGAAUCAAGAGCUCCUUCUGUUGGCAACGAAGUCUCAUGAGCCUUAAAAGUGGAGGUUCACUUCAGCCUCGAGGGAAACUUACAGGAACGUGGCUGUCAUGCCCAGAGGAGAAGCAACCAUCUUGCAACUAGGAGGAAGAACGGCAUAUAUUAAGGAUAGCGGAAAAGGAAACCCAAAAGACUCUGUGUUUUGUGGUGACUUUCUUGGGCAGCUGCACCUGUUCUGAAAUGCAUAUCUCCAGACUUUUUAUUUCAUAGAAGAAAAAUUGAAUUCUCUAUGUGGCUAAGUCACUGCAAUCGGGUUUCUACAUUUAGAUAGAUAUAAUCCUGACACCCCAUCCUUCAAAGCUAAAUUCAAAUGCUACAUAAAUUAUGAAGGCGACCACAGUCGUCUAAAUCUAA
Molecule: long non-coding RNA, 436 nt
Organism: Suricata suricatta (meerkat)
Lineage: Eukaryota; Metazoa; Chordata; Mammalia; Carnivora; Herpestidae
Exons: 2
Source: RefSeq, a predicted model, not a curated record